GCCCCUGUGGUGUAAAGGAUAGCAUGUGUGACUACGAAUCAUUUGGAAUGGGUUCGAAUCCCAUCAGGGGUA
This is a non-coding RNA of Tritrichomonas musculus, 72 nucleotides long. Lineage: Eukaryota; Parabasalia; Tritrichomonadida; Tritrichomonadidae. The record is from the annotation of a GenBank genome assembly.